RNAcentral lists this ribosomal RNA (451 nucleotides) under uncultured bacterium. RNAcentral's name for it is "bacterial SSU rRNA". It matches the Rfam family "Bacterial small subunit ribosomal RNA", at positions 354 to 796 of the family's 1533-position model. The record is from RNAcentral.
GUAGGGAAUUGUUCGCAAUGGGCGCAAGCCUGACGACGCAACGCCGCGUGGAGGAUGAAGACCUUCGGGUCGUAAACUCCUUUCGACCGAGAUGAAUACUCGCUGACCUAAUACGUCGGCGAGCUGACAGUAUCGAGGGAAGAAGCCCCGGCUAACUCCGUGCCAGCAGCCGCGGUAAUACGGGGGGGGCAAGCGUUGUUCGGAAUUACUGGGCGUAAAGGGUUCGUAGGUGGCCUGCUAAGUCAGACGUGAAAUCCCUCAGCUUAACUGGGGAACUGCGUCUGAGACUGGCGGGCUUGAGUGCAGGAGAGGAACGCGGAAUUCCAGGUGUAGCGGUGAAAUGCGUAGAUAUCUGGAGGAACACCGGUGGCGAAGGCGGCGUUCUGGACUGCUACUGACACUGAGGAACGAAAGCCAGGGGAGCAAACGGGAUUAGAUACCCCGGUAGUCC